RNAcentral lists this ribosomal RNA (253 nucleotides) under uncultured bacterium. Its description in RNAcentral is "partial 16S ribosomal RNA". It matches the Rfam family "Bacterial small subunit ribosomal RNA", at positions 524 to 776 of the family's 1533-position model. The record is from RNAcentral.
GACGAACCGAGCGAACGUUGUUCGGAAUCACUGGGCUUAAAGGGCGCGUAGGCGGCUUGUCCAGUCGGUGGUGAAAUCCUGCAGCUUAACUGUAGAAGUGCCUCCGAUACUGACGAGCUCGAGGGAGGUAGGGGUCUUUGGAACUUCUGGUGGAGCGGUGAAAUGCGUUGAUAUCAGAAGGAACGCCGGUGGCGAAAGCGAAGGACUGGACCUCUUCUAACGCUGAGGCGCGAAAGCUAGGGGAGCAAACGGG